GACGAACGCUGGCGGCGUGCUUAACACAUGCAAGUCGAACGGAAAGGCCCUGCUUGCAGGGUACUCUAGUGGCGAACGGGUGAGUAACACGCGGGUGAUCUGCCCUGCACUUCGGGAUAUGCCUGGGAAACUGGGUCUAAUACCGGAUAGGAGCCAUUUUUAGUGUGAUGGUUGGAAAGUUUUUUUGGUGUAGGAUGAGCUCGCGGCCUAUCAGCUUGUUGGUGGGGUUAUGGCCUACCAAGGCGGCGACGGGUAGCCGGCCUGGGAGGGUGGACGGCCACAUUGGGGCUGGGGUUCGGCCCAGACUCCCACGGGGGGCAGCAGUGGGGAAUAAUGCACCAUGGGGGCGAGCCUGGUGCAGCGACGGCGCGGGGGGGGAGAAGGGCUUCGGGUUGGAAACUCCUUUCGCUAGGGGAGGAGCUUUUUGUGACGGUACCUAGAUAAGAAGCACCGGCUAACUACGUG
Molecule: ribosomal RNA, 465 nt
Filed under: uncultured bacterium
Lineage: Bacteria
Description: partial 16S ribosomal RNA
Rfam family: Bacterial small subunit ribosomal RNA
Source: RNAcentral